Molecule: long non-coding RNA, 304 nt
Filed under: Elaeis guineensis (African oil palm)
Lineage: Eukaryota; Viridiplantae; Streptophyta; Magnoliopsida; Arecales; Arecaceae
Description: long non-coding RNA (EGUI_LNC080679)
Source: RNAcentral
GGCUACGAAGAAGCUCAACUGAAGUCUACCUGUAAUGAAAGUUCGGAAGAAAUUUGUUUACAGUAGAGGCUCGAAUGGAAUUUGCUUACAGUAGAUAUCUAGAGUAGACCGCCCACCGUAGGAGUUCCGAGUAGACCGCUCGCUGUAGGAGUUCGGAGUAGACCGCUCGUAGUAGAAGUUCGGAGUAGACCGCUCGUAGUAGAAGUUCGGUUCUCACAGGUGCCCGAUUGGAAUCCUGAAGGUGGUCGACCGUCGUAGAAACUUUGAUGGAGUCUGAUUACUGUAGAAAUCUCAUUGUCAAAGA